Molecule: small RNA, 125 nt
Filed under: Marmota monax (woodchuck)
Lineage: Eukaryota; Metazoa; Chordata; Mammalia; Rodentia; Sciuridae
Source: RNAcentral
GCCGGGGUGCGGUGGUGCAUACCUGUAAUCCCAGCGGCUUGGAGGCUGAGGCAGGAGAUCUUGAGUUCAGGAGCCAGCCUCAGCAAAAGUGAGGCCCUAAGCAACUCUGUGAGACCCUGUCUCUA